Bactrocera dorsalis (oriental fruit fly) is the source of this 8438-nucleotide long non-coding RNA. RefSeq lists it as uncharacterized. The transcript is spliced from 4 exons. The record is from RefSeq and is a predicted model, not a curated record. Lineage: Eukaryota; Metazoa; Arthropoda; Insecta; Diptera; Tephritidae.
UUAUAUCAACAGAAUCAUACUAUGAAUAACUUGAAAUCUUAUUUGAUGCGUAAAUUCAGAAUGACAGAUUUAUUAGAAAUUAAAUAUUUUGUGGGAAUAAAAGUUGAUAGAGACGAUGGUCGGAUAAGUCUAAGUCAGUCAGCAUACAUAAAAAAUGUUUUAAAUAAAUUUGGGAUGGAUGGGUAUAAUCCUGUGAAUUCACCACUUCCAAGUAAGCUAAAUCACGAAGCGGUGAAUUCAGAUGAUAAAUACGAUGCACCAUGUCGUAGUUUAAUAGGAUGUUUUAUGUACAUAAUGCUAGGUACAAGACCAGAUCCGAGUACAUCUGUUAAUUUUUUAAGUCGAUAUAGUCACAGGAACAACCAAGAACUCUAGCAAUGUUUAAAGAGAGUUUUGAGGUACCUGAAGGGGACUAUUGAUUCGAAAUUAGUAUUUUAGAAAAAUACUAAGGGCCGUUUUCUAGUCUGACCUUUAAAUUACCGGCCACUUUAUCGCCUCGAUAAACGCAUUUUCGCUUUCUCAUUCGCGAAUUAAGUUAUUGUAUCGAUAAAUUGCUGCUCACCUGAUGUAACCUUUAAAAAUUUGUAGCCAGCUUUAAAUUAAGCAUUGCCAACUAAAGUUUUUGGUUUACUUACAUCAAUUGAACAGCUGUUAUUUAUUUUGCUUUUUGAUACAAACAAAAAAUUUUAAUUUAAAUUACACUAUGUCGACACAUAUAUAUAUUAAUCGGCUGGAAGAAAUGUUUGAAGGCUCGGAGCAACCAGCUGCAUCUUGUAGGAAGUAUCGCAGUCGGCCGGAUUAUUUAGAUAGCUAUGAUGACGAUGAGUUCAUCAAGAGGUUUCGAUUAUCCAAACCAACUUUUCGCUUCGUUUUAAAUAAAAUUUGUAACGCUUUGGAGCCUUUUACAAGAAGUACUAUUAUAUAUCACCAAAAAUGAAACUAAUGAUAGCACUCAGAAUCUAUGCUAGCGGAAGUUUCCUAAUAACAGUAAGAGAUUUUUGUGGGAUAAGCGUAUCUACGGCAAGUCGAGCAGUAAAAGAAGUGUCUUUGGCUCUGGCCGCUUUAUACAAGGACUUCAUUAAACUUCCCACUGAUCCUACUCAGACGGUGGCAGGGUUUUUCGAAAUCGCUAAAUUCCCCAAAGUCACAAUAAUGUACUCACAUCCGAAUACAAUCACCCGGUGGUAGCAAUGCAAAGAUUUUUCGAAAUAGAAUAGAACACUUCUCGCUAAACGUUCAAGCAAUGUGCAACGCAAAUUUGAUGUUGUUGGAUUUGGUCGUAAGGUGGCUUGGUUCUGCACACGAUUACAAUAUUUUUCGCAAUAGCCAUCUAAAGUUUUGUAUUAAGGAAGGCCAUUUUAGUAAUUAUUUCAUCCUUGGUGACAGUGGCUACAAUUACUACAAUUACUCAUGUAACUAAUUACAUGAUGACUCCAUUAAUAAGUCCAUCAAAUGCACCGGAAAGACUUUAUAAUGAGUCGCAAAUUCGCAUGCGCAAUGCAAUUGAGAGAUGCUUUGGCGUAUGGAAAAGACGAUUUCCUGUAUUGUCGAUGGGACUGCGAACAUCAAUGAACACCAUAAUGGCUAUUAUAGUGGCAUGUGGUGUCCUGCACAAUAUCGCAAUACUAUCAAAAGACCCACUUCCUCCGAUGGAUGAACUGAUUAUACCGGAAAUUCCAGAAGAUGCUGACGAAAAUAAUUCCAUCGAGAUAAAUUCUAACUCUGUUGCAAGAAACCGACUAAUACAAGACUAUUUUGCUCGAUUAUAAAAGAAUGAUACAAAAGGAAAGAUAUACCAGCUAAAUGGAGUCCUAACCGUAUAUGAGCAUAGAAGUAUAUUUCCAAUUUCUAUUUUUAAAUAAAAAGUCAUUUAAUUUAAAGUUUAAUUAAAUGCACGUAUUUAUUAAAAACCGAAAAAAAAAUUCAUUGCAAACUUUAAAAUAAAGUGAAGCCAAAGCUUCAACACAAAAAUUCCACUCCUGAAACAAUGACGAAACUAAUUUUGCUUACACGUUAUAUGGAAAAAAGUGCAACACCUUUAACAGGAAAAAUUAUUAAAAAUAAACAAGAGUACCGCAACUGCUUAAGGUGCAUUCUUAUUUGAAUCUAAUUUGGUUUAUUUUUUAAGAUUUCUAAUUGCAUUAGCUCAUUUUUCAAUUUAAGCGCAAUUAAUUCUUGCUCAUGUUUUUUCCGAGCCCGGGUAUUUUCAUCUGCAUAAAAUUGUUGUUGUAAAACUGUCAACUUAAUUUUUUCUUCCAAAUUUCUCUUGCGGGUGCCAGGACGGUCAAUCAAAAGUUUGGACGAUUUUUUACUUCUGUGCGUUAGGUGUCCAAGAAGACCACUGUUCUUCUUCGUGAUCAACAUUCUUCACAUUUUCUUAUGAAAUUAAAAAUUAAAUUUGUAUAUACAGCUAGGUUUACAUAAUUUACACUAUAUGAAUACCGUAAAAAUACAAAUAGUGUAAAUUAUGUGACCUCAGCUGUAUAUGUUCAUAUGUAUGUAUAAGUAUUCGAAAUAUAUACAGUCAUUUUCUUGCAAAAUUCAAUCAUAAUGUGAUUUAUCUAAAUAUUAAUCAUUCUACAAGAAACAAUAUAAAUUAAAACUUCAAACUUUGUACAAAAUUUAAAAAUGUACACCCCUAUCAUGCAUUUCGAUUACGUUCCCGCUCUACGCUCCGCCGGAGUCGAAAUUAGGUAUCAUGCGUUGCGAUUGGAUUGAAAGAAGAAGAGGAAGAGCUAUAACUCUUUCGAAAUCAGCUGUUUGCUUUGAAAUAUGUGAAACUGAAACAUAACAAAGCAAAAAUACACAAAUUACUGCUGUUCAAAGAAAAUAAAUAAAAGUAAAAUUUUUAUAUUGUUAUUAUUUUUAUUAAACGUAACUAUGGAAUCUUUAUCCGCGGCGAUAUUACUGGUUGAGGAGGAGAGCAGCGCAUCUUAGAAUGCUGGGGUGAGAAUUGAAAGGAGAAGAUUAGGAGAUAUGUGCGAUCCCUUCCAGAUGAAUGACGGGCUAUUCAAAAAAACUUUCAUCUGAAUAAGGACGCAUUCAAGUAUGUCCUAGAUACGUUUGCGGAAGAAACGACGGCAAGAAAAUUUGAUGCUACCUCUUUCAAAAAGCCUGCACAUCUUCCUUAGGAUGCUGGUGGAAAUUUGGUAAUGUAAUACUGCGUUACUUACUUUGUCUGUUAGGGAGUUUUCAAUGGUAGUGAGUCGGGUCUCAAUGGCAUCCACCUUCUGGAUUAUAUCUGAAAAACAUAAAUGUAUUUUUAUAAAGCAAAUACUAAUACAUUUAUAUAAUAAUAUAUUAUACCUGCAUGGCCGCCAGAAGAUGGUGACGGUAUCACAAUUUGUGAUGGUUUUACUCGAGGAGCGCAAACGAGGUUGUAAAACGAGGUUGUAAAAUAUAUUUGUAAAAAAAUAUUAUAAAAAAAUGAAAUAUAUUUACGUUCAAUACAACCUCUAUGGGGGUCAACGGAUAGGAAUCAAAUAUUCACGUCGCAAUCUGAAACAAAAAAAAAAAUGUUAGUACUUUAUGUUAAUAAUAUUUCAAAGUUAAGUAGUUUAUAGCAACAAAUAUUAGCUUGAAAAAGAUUUUUGAUUUGUAAAUACUUACAAAUAGAAGUGUCUUUUUAAAAGAGAAUAUCUACUUCUCAAUUAAUUUUUUUUAUAAUGAGAAAACAUUAUAAGGGAAACAUUUACUGAUUUACCAAAUAAUAGUAUUUCUGUUUAGGACUCACAAUUUAACGUUUCUUUACUUGCGAAAUAUCUUCUUGAGAUCAACAUCCAAGUAAAGAAGUUGUGUAUUUCAGCACUAAGGACAAGACUGCAUAAUUAGUUUAAAAAAUUAAAAUCUAAAUAUCCUCUUUUGAAAAGACACUCCUCAAUAGCUUGAGGCAAGCUUGAAAAAGUAGAACGUACGAAACCACUAUUAUUUAAAUUUAAUUUUUAAAAUCUUACUUCGGAGCAGAAAUGCGUAUUUGUAUAUUCGAACUAUAGUAUGUUCUUUUUUACAACAGCUUCUCGAUCGAGAGACCUUGGGUGAUAGAAAACCGUCGCAAUUUCUACGCCAUCUCAGAAGCCUCGACAACACCGUUCCGGACAACAUUCUUCGAACAAAGUGGCUAAGCAGACUUCCGAUGUCAACGCAAUCGAUACUUGCAUCCCAAGCGGAUAUGAAUCUUGAAUGAUGAAUCGCGUCUCGUCGACAAAAUACACGACAUUGCACUACCAGCAGAAAUUAAUUCGCUCCAAGAAUCAACAACAACAUCAGCAGUCGAAUCACGCAUUUCCCGUCUCGAAGCUUCGAUUAACGAGCUAGCUUCCAGUUUUAAGCGGCAGAGCAUAUCUCGUACCCGUUCUCGUCAGCGCUUUCGUUCGCGCACAUCUUCACCAGCAUUGAACAACGACACAUGCUGGUACCACCAAAAUUUCGGCAAUAAAGCAAAACGUUGCCGAUCGCCGCGCUCAUUUCAGGGAAACCUACCGUCGGAGCGUUAGUGGCGGUUAACGGCUCCUCACGCGAAUCAAACCUUUUCAUAACAGAUCGCGCAACCAAAAUCCAAUUCCUGGUAGAUACUGGCGCCGAUCUCUGCAAUUUUCCUAAAUCUCUCGCACCGUGGCCGUCCGAACGAAUCGACUAUAAUCUCACAGCAGCAAAUGGAUCAACUAUUAAUACCUACGGUUGCAUAACUCUAACACUAAACCUUGGCCUCAGACGAAAUUUUACAUGGCGCUUCGUGGUGGCGGACAUAACGAAACCUAUUAUUGGCGCAGAUUCGGCAUCUUAAACGACCUCAAGAAUAGCUGCCUUAUCGAUUCGAUAACUGGACUAACAGCCGCAUGUAAGUUAUCUCCAUCAAAAAUCAUUUCGGAAAUUAAAGUACUGCCCGUCGAUCCUAUAUGGGCAGAUGCACUAAAGGAGUUUCCUAAGCUGACAAAACUCGAAGGAAUCUGUCAGCCAACAAAACAUACGACGCAGCACCACAUAUCUACUACACCAGGCCCUCCAGUUUCCUGUAAGGCUCGAAGACUUGUUCCCGAAAAACUUGCCAAGACAGAGUUCGAGAAAAUGUUACAACUAGGAAUCGCUCAACGUUUGAAGAGCUCCUGGUCAUCUCCGCUCCACCUGGUUCCAAAGAAGUCUGGCGAAUGGCGAUCUUGUGGAGAUUAUCGACGACUUAACGCCCGUACAUUGCCAGACUGAUAUCCUGUUCGUGUUCUCGAAGACUUUACUGCCAAUCUAACCGGCAAAACAGUAUUUUCAACAAUUGAUUUAGUACGCGCUUUUUCCACGUAAUAUGUCGACAAAACUGCUAUUAUAACACCGUUUGGUCUUUUCUAAUUUCCGUUCAUGACGUUCGGACUUCGAAAUGCCGCACAAACAUUUCAACGAUUUAUCGACGAGGUAACACGGGGACUAGACGACUUCUUAUUUCCAUACAUAGACGACAUCCUAAUCGCUUCCAAAGAUGUUACGCAACACCGCAGUUAUCUUCGCUUACUUUUCGAACGACUCACUAAGUAUGGUGUCGUAAUUAACACCGCUAAGUGCCGUUUUGGUCAGUCCGAAGUGGACGUUUUGGGACACCGCAUUUCAGCCAAAUGAAUUCUACCUCUUUCUGGUAAAGUAGACGAGAUAGUUAACUUUCCACGACCAAAAACGAUCCGACAACUGCUUGAGUUUCUUGGCAUGAUCAAUUUUUAUCGUAAAUUUCUUAAAAACGCUGCUAAGUUACAGACACCUCUGCACGAGUACAUUCAAGGAACUUCAAUUAAAGGUUCGCAUCCGGUCCCCUGGACACCAGAAGGAGAUGCAGCAGAUCACAAACCUUUGCUACAUGCUUUUUCUCAGGACCCCGAUCGAGCGACACCCUAGCAAUUCCACCGCCUAGACUUCAUCAGCCAGUUUACAACCGAUAUCCAACAUAUAGCCGGAAAAGACAACAUCGUCGCAGAUGCUUUUUCUCGCAUCGAAGAAAUUUCAAUGGCAGUAUCUUCAAACAAACUUGCAUAAGCUCAAGUUGAGGACGAGGAACUUCAGCAAAGAAUACAAAGGGAACAACACGAUUCACUAAACUUGCGACCUGUCAACAUUCCAGGCUGCAAUAAACCAAUAUACUGCGACGUUUCGAGCGAUAUUAUUCGUCUAUACGUUCCCAUCGCACUGAGGAAGAAAAUAUUCGACGCUCUUCACAGCAUUAGUCAUCCCGGAGCACGAGCUUCCGCCAAAUUGUUAACGCAACGAUACGUUUGGCCCAGCAUUAACCGCGACUGACGUUUGUGGGCCCGAACAUGCCUAGCUUGCCAACGAAAUAAAGUAUCUCGUCACGUUUUAUCACCAAUCCAAAACUGUCCAAGCCGCACAAGACGUUUCGAACAUAUCCAUGUGGACAUCAUUGGUCCAUGCGUACCUUCAAAAGGGUAUCGCUACUGCUUGACAAUCAUCGAUCGUUUCACCAGGUUUCCAGAGGCAUUUCGCAUCGAAAGUAUCGACGCCGAAUAUGUUGCCCGCACACUUUUUGCUGGAUGGAUAUGCCGCUACGGUGUACCAUUACAAAUUACAACGGACCAAGGAACACAGUUUAAGAGCCAACUCUUUAACGCUCUCGCUCGUCUCCUCGGCAGUAAACAUAUAAAUACCACCACUUUCCAUCCGCAGUCGAAUGGAAUGGUGGAACGUCUUCACCGUCACUUGAAGGAUGCCAUUCGUUGUCACGAAAACAGCUCAUGGGUCGACAUGCUACCCAUCGUUCUCCUUGGAAUUCGCGCCGCUUGGAAGGAAGAUCUUGGCGCAACUCCUGCUGAUCUUGUUUAUGGAGAGCCAAUUCGUUUACCAGGUGAAUUCCUAGCGCCUUCGCCACGAUCUGGUUUGCCACCAUCCAAUUUGGCAUUACGCUUGAGAAAUUACUUCGCAGACCUUGCACCACAACCCAUCGUCCGACAUGGUCAGAGGAAAACAUUCGUUUUCAAAGAACUAUCUACAUGUUCACAUGUUUUUAUUCGUCGCGACGCUCCACUCCACGCAUUCACUUCACCUUAUGAAGGACCUCACCGAGUCAUUUCAAAGCACGAAAAAUAUUUCAUCGUAAACGUCAAAGGCGAAAACACUACAGUUUCGAUCGACCGACUAAAGCCUGUUUAUGUACUUCCCGACGAUAAGCUCAACGAGAAUGAGCAGCACAACGACGAUGAUAACAAUACUACGCUUACUACUUUACCUUCACCAGAGUCAUCUGAACCUGGGACAUCUCGAUUUUCGUCGCCAUCAUACCGCCCAUCUGAAUCCGAUUCCAACUUAUCUACACCGUCACCCAAGAGACGCUGAAACGAAUACGACUCAAAACGAAACAAGGAAUACAUAGUUAACCGUUAGGAUUGAGGACGCCCGCGGUUAUUACUAUAUAGGACUACGCAUCAUACGAGCAGUUCUCUUCUCCUGCUGGCAGCCAUCGCGUGCGCAUCACACAAUAACCACCACAAAAAAUGGAUAGUAAAAAUAUUUUUCGUUUUUUUUUUUAAUAAAAUUAAAAAAACUGCCCAAAAUUUGAUUUCUAGAGUAGAAAACUUAGUCUUUUAUUUGUUUGUUAUACGCAAUAGAUUUGAAUUUUCCAAAUGGUCCAACUGAUUUCUGUAAUAUUAAAAUUUUUAAUUAUACACACAGCAUUCAAUUCACAUUGCUUACCUUUUUCUCCUUCUUAAGCUAUUUCCUUUUCUCUAUAAUAUAUAAAAGAAAUUAAUAAUAUAUAUAUAUAUUAGAAAUUAAUUAUAAAAUAUCAAAUUAUCAAAUAACGAACUUACCUAUUUAAAAUCCAAAACAAACUGCGCUUUUCGUUUUCUUCUUCUUGAAAAAUUGGGUAUUCGUCUUUCUUAUUCUAGCAAGUUAACAUUACAAUUGUUCAAUUCACAACCUGUCGUAAAGCAUCGUAAAAUCGUGAAAAUUUUAAAUUUUUACACUUGUUUAAAAAAAUUGUUGUUGGAUUUCAUACAAAAAUGAGUUUAUACAUUUACAAUUCUCAAUGCUAUGUUUUCGAAUCGUUAUAACUUACAACUUUAUGAGACUUGUGAAUGCACAAAUAUGUUUAGAAUGUCGAUAGUUUUUCUCUAUCUUACUUACGUAAUCUCCAAUUUAAUUGAAAAUUCCAGAAAAUGUAACAGUUUUAGUGAACAGCUGAAAAUGUUUCCAUGUGUUUGUGCAAUCUGUUACCCCCGUCUUGCAGGUUAGGAAAUAGAUAUUUGCGCUUCAAGUUAAAAAUUACCACUUUUUGAAGUAAGUAUUUUUCGAUUUAAAAUUAAUUUUAACACCCCUAAUUCGUUUGUACACAUUUAUUUUACAUUAUAUAUGUAGUGCAAAAAUAAUUUUAUUUUAACAUUUAGCUUAUUGUUAAUUCUAUUUCUUUUAGAAUAACAAAAGAAUUACAAACUGCCAAAUAGGAGAAAUAUACA